Molecule: ribosomal RNA, 451 nt
Filed under: uncultured bacterium
Lineage: Bacteria
Description: partial 16S ribosomal RNA
Rfam family: Bacterial small subunit ribosomal RNA
Source: RNAcentral
GCGGGGAAUAUUGGACAAUGGGGGGAACCCUGAUCCAGCCAUGCCGCGUGUGUGAAGAAGGCCUUUUGGUUGUAAAGCACUUUAAGCGAGGAGGAGGCUACCGAGAUUAAUACUCUUGGAUAGUGGACGUUACUCGCAGAAUAAGCACCGGCUAACUCUGUGCCAGCAGCCGCGGUAAUACAGAGGGUGCAAGCGUUAAUCGGAUUUACUGGGCGUAAAGCGCGCGUAGGUGGCCAAUUAAGUCAAAUGUGAAAUCCCCGAGCUUAACUUGGGAAUUGCAUUCGAUACUGGUUGGCUAGAGUAUGGGAGAGGAUGGUAGAAUUCCAGGUGUAGCGGUGAAAUGCGUAGAGAUCUGGAGGAAUACCGAUGGCGAAGGCAGCCAUCUGGCCUAAUACUGACACUGAGGUGCGAAAGCAUGGGGAGCAAACAGGAUUAGAUACCCGUGUAGUCC